AUGGGGCUACUGAUGGACGCCUACAGGCUACAAGGAGACGCACCACUGGUCGAGACUCGAGACCACCGCGUCGCUGCUACCCAUGGAGGACCUCCUCGCUGGGAGCGGCGCGACCUGAUACACGCGGCCGAGCGACAGCCGCGCCAUGCUGCUGUCGCGCACGCGGCCUACUUCCGACCGGAUCUCGAGCCCUCCGGUGAGAAUAGACUUGACGGCGUCGGAGAUGGAAGCGGCGCCACUCGAUGCGCGCGGCGGGCGACCGCCGCCGUGCUUGCGGCCGCGCACGCAGCCUAUUCCGAGCGGCUCGGCGGGGUGAGCUACGGUGCCCUGCGGUCUGGUGCGGCAGUGGACGCAGGGAAGGUGUUUGUGAAAAUUUCAGAGAGGAGCAAGAGGGAGGUGUAUUUGCCACAUAAGCGUGUAGGCCCAUGUGGUCAGUGA
This 438-nucleotide ribosomal RNA is filed under the name Triticum aestivum (bread wheat). Its description in RNAcentral is "partial small subunit ribosomal RNA". The record is from RNAcentral. Lineage: Eukaryota; Viridiplantae; Streptophyta; Magnoliopsida; Poales; Poaceae.